UGCGGGGUAGAGCAGUCCGGUAGCUCGCAAGGCCCAUAACCUUGAGGUCGGCCGUUCAAAUCGGCCCCCCGCAA
RNAcentral lists this transfer RNA (74 nucleotides) under Candidatus Jorgensenbacteria bacterium RIFCSPHIGHO2_02_FULL_45_20. RNAcentral's name for it is "tRNA-Met". The record is from RNAcentral. Lineage: Bacteria; Candidatus Joergenseniibacteriota. RNAcentral also lists the same sequence under 1 other name.